GAUGAACGCUGGCGGCGUGCCUAAUACAUGCAAGUCGUGCGAACAGACGAGGAGCUAGCCCCUCUGACGCUAGCGGUGGACGGGUGAGUAACACGUGGAUAACCUACCUAUAAGAAUGGGAUAACUUCGGUAAACCGGAGCUAAUACCGGAUAACAUGAUGAACAGAAUGGGUCAACAGUGAAAGAGGGUCUAGCUGUCACUUAUAGAUGGAGCCGCGCCGAAUUAGCAAGUUGGUAAGGUAACGGCUUACCAAGGCAACGAUCCGUAGCCGGCCUGAGAGGGUGAUCGGCCACACUGGAACUGAGACACGGUCCAGACUCCUACGGGAGGCAGCAGUAGGGAAUUUUCCGCAAUGGGCGAAAGCCUGACGGAGCAACGCCGCGUGAGUGAAGAAGGUCUUCGGAUCGUAAAACUCUGUUAUUAGGGAAGAACAAAUGUGUAAGUAUCUAUGCACGUCUUGACGGUACCUAAUCAGAAAGCCACGGCUAACUACGUGCCAGCCGCCGCGGUAA
This 513-nucleotide ribosomal RNA is filed under the name uncultured bacterium. RNAcentral describes it as "partial 16S ribosomal RNA". It matches the Rfam family "Bacterial small subunit ribosomal RNA", at positions 28 to 523 of the family's 1533-position model. The record is from RNAcentral.